GGGGAUUAAGGGGUAACGUUCCUUUCUUGUAGCUAUGAGUUAAGAGCUAUUGUCUUAUGAGCUACUCUUCUUGUAGUUCUACUAGCUCUAGUUAAAGGAAUUCCUUUUCUUAUUUAUCUAUUGUUUUCCUUACGGUCUUUUAUAGAGCUAAAAGAGCUCUUUAGUCUCUCUUAUAUUGACUUACUUUAUUAUCUUAUCUAUAAAAGUAAGAAUAGAUCUUUGCAGAUUUGUAUACUAACAGUAGGUAGCUCCUUACUGAACACAUGAAAAACUUCCCUUUUAACCGGUACGCUAGCGAGGCCUCUACUCUGCUAGUUUUCCACCUGGUAUGUCUGAGCUCCUCUUGUUUUUCCUGUCUCAGAGGCCGCUAUAGAGCUCUGGGAGAGCUCUUUAGCAUAGGCCUCUACUGUUUGAAUCAGUCAAGUGAAUAGAAACUUGAGUUAGCCUGGAGAGUCAGGAAGGAAGUCAUAGGUAUGGCUUCCGACUGCUCGUCACGCCUCCGGUCUGACGGCUAAGCAACCGAAAGAAUGUCCUCCCUUCGGUCGGGCGCACUCCCCCUCAGGGGGCCGGGGGCGCACGCAAAGCAUAACCCCACUCUUCCCUCCGUAAAGCGACGAAAGCAACAACCCAAAUAUCUCCUAAUCCUCUUAACUAGCUAAAAGUAGCUCUUCUUGUCUUUAGUGAGUUCUCCUUAGGUAAGGAGGGACGAACGAGUUAAGAGAGGAGUUCUUUAGUGGAGCCUGUUGUUUAAGCCUACGGAUGUGGAAUCGGCAAUCAAAAGUUUC
Molecule: long non-coding RNA, 785 nt
Filed under: Coffea arabica (coffee)
Lineage: Eukaryota; Viridiplantae; Streptophyta; Magnoliopsida; Gentianales; Rubiaceae
Description: long non-coding RNA (CARA_LNC008305)
Source: RNAcentral